UGUAGGUCAUGCAGGAGUCUCUGCCAGCAUGAUGAAGAAAAGAACUUCCCACAAAGAAAGGAGUGUAUGAUGGGAAGACUAUCAGAG
This is a long non-coding RNA of Oxyura jamaicensis (ruddy duck), 87 nucleotides long. RefSeq lists it as uncharacterized. The record is from RefSeq and is a predicted model, not a curated record. The transcript has 2 exons. NCBI's taxonomy places the organism in Eukaryota, Metazoa, Chordata, Aves, Anseriformes, Anatidae.